UUGGCGGACGGGUGAGUAACGCGUGGGUAACCUGCCUCAUACAGGGGGAUAACAGUUAGAAAUGACUGCUAAUACCGCAUAAGACCACAGCACCGCAUGGUGCAGGGGUAAAAACUCCGGUGGUAUGAGAUGGACCCGCGUCUGAUUAGCUAGUUGGUAAGGUAACGGCUUACCAAGGCGACGAUCAGUAGCCGACCUGAGAGGGUGACCGGCCACAUUGGGACUGAGACACGGCCCAA
RNAcentral lists this ribosomal RNA (239 nucleotides) under uncultured bacterium. Its description in RNAcentral is "partial 16S ribosomal RNA". It matches the Rfam family "Bacterial small subunit ribosomal RNA", at positions 95 to 334 of the family's 1533-position model. The record is from RNAcentral.